This 463-nucleotide ribosomal RNA is filed under the name Vreelandella stevensii. RNAcentral describes it as "partial 16S ribosomal RNA". It matches the Rfam family "Bacterial small subunit ribosomal RNA", at positions 338 to 795 of the family's 1533-position model. The record is from RNAcentral. Lineage: Bacteria; Pseudomonadati; Pseudomonadota; Gammaproteobacteria; Oceanospirillales; Halomonadaceae.
CCUACGGGUGGCAGCAGUGGGGAAUAUUGGACAAUGGGCGAAAGCCUGAUCCAGCCAUGCCGCGUGUGUGAAGAAGGCCUUCGGGUUGUAAAGCACUUUCAGUGGGGAAGAAAGCCUUGGGGCUAAUACCCUCGAGGAAGGACAUCACCCACAGAAGAAGCACCGGCUAACUCCGUGCCAGCAGCCGCGGUAAUACGGAGGGUGCGAGCGUUAAUCGGAAUUACUGGGCGUAAAGCGCGCGUAGGCGGUCUGAUAAGCCGGUUGUGAAAGCCCCGGGCUCAACCUGGGAACGGCAUCCGGAACUGUCAGGCUAGAGUGCAGGAGAGGAAGGUAGAAUUCCCGGUGUAGCGGUGAAAUGCGUAGAGAUCGGGAGGAAUACCAGUGGCGAAGGCGGCCUUCUGGACUGACACUGACGCUGAGGUGCGAAAGCGUGGGUAGCAAACAGGAUUAGAUACCCUAUGUC